This 791-nucleotide ribosomal RNA is filed under the name uncultured archaeon. RNAcentral describes it as "bacterial SSU rRNA". It matches the Rfam family "Archaeal small subunit ribosomal RNA", at positions 85 to 879 of the family's 1478-position model. The record is from RNAcentral.
ACGGCUCAGUAACACGUAGUCAACAUGCCCAGGGGACGUGGAUAACCUCGGGAAACUGAGGAUAAACCGCGAUAAGUCACUACUUCUGGAAUGGGUAAUGACUAAAAUCUAUAUGGCCCCUGGAUUGGACUGCGGCCGAUCAGGCUGUUGGUGAGGUAAUGGCCCACCAAACCUGUAACCGGUACGGGCUCUGAGAGGAGGAGCCCGGAGAUGGGCACUGAGACAAGGGCCCAGGCCCUAUGGGGCGCAGCAGGCGCGAAACCUCUGCAAUAGGCGAAAGCCUGACAGGGUUACUCUGAGUGAUUUCCGUUAAGGAGAUCUUUUGGCACCUCUAAAAAUGGUGCAGAAUAAGGGGUGGGCAAGUCUGGUGUCAGCCGCCGCGGUAAUACCAGCACCCCGAGUGGUCGGGACGUUUAUUGGGCCUAAAGCAUCCGUAGCCGGUUCUACAAGUCUUCCGUUAAAUCCACCUGCUUAACAGAUGGGCUGCGGAAGAUACUAUGGAGCUAGGAGGCGGGAGAGGCAAGCGGUACUCGAUGGGUAGGGGUAAAAUCCGUUGAUCCAUUGAAGACCACCAGUGGCGAAGGCGGCUUGCCAGAACGCGCUCGACGGUGAGGGAUGAAAGCUGGGGGAGCAAACCGGAUUAGAUACCCGGGUAGUCCCAGCUGUAAACGAUGCAGACUCGGUGAUGAGUUGGCUUCUUGCCAACUCAGUGCCGCAGGGAAGCCGUUAAGUUUGCCGCCUGGGGAGUACGGUCGCAAGACUGAAACUUAAAGGAAUUGGCGGGGGAGCAC